UACGUAGGGUGCGAGCGUUGUCCGGAAUUACUGGGCGUAAAGAGCUCGUAGGUGGUUUGUCGCGUUGUCCGUGAAAACUCACAACUCAAUUGUGGGCGUGCGGGCGAUACGGGCAUCACUGGAGUUCGGCAGGGGAGACUGGAAUUCCUGGUGUAGCGGUGAAAUGCGCAGAUAUCAGGAGGAACACCGGUGGCGAAGGCGGGUCUCUGGGCAACAACUGACGCUGAGGAGCGAAAGCGUGGGGAGCGAACAGG
Molecule: ribosomal RNA, 254 nt
Filed under: uncultured bacterium
Lineage: Bacteria
Description: partial 16S ribosomal RNA
Rfam family: Bacterial small subunit ribosomal RNA
Source: RNAcentral